Molecule: ribosomal RNA, 253 nt
Filed under: uncultured bacterium
Lineage: Bacteria
Description: partial 16S ribosomal RNA
Rfam family: Bacterial small subunit ribosomal RNA
Source: RNAcentral
UACGUAGGGUCCAAGCGUUAAUCGGAAUUACUGGGCGUAAAGCGUGCGCAGGCGGUUCGUUAAGUCAGCUGUGAAAGCCCCGGGCUCAACCUGGGAAUGGCGGUUGAAACUGGCGAACUUGAAUCUGGCAGAGGGGGGUGGAAUUCCACGUGUAGCAGUGAAAUGCGUAGAGAUGUGGAGGAACACCGAUGGCGAAGGCAGGUCUCUGGGCUGACACUGACGCUCAUGCACGAAAGCGUGGGGAGCAAACAGG